AUACUCUGGUUUCUCUUCAGAUCAUACAAAUCGUUCGCCGUUUACUAAAGAUUUCAGUGGAGAGGAAAAGUGUUGUAUUCACAAUAGCC
Small nuclear RNA from Vicugna pacos (alpaca), 89 nucleotides. Its record names the gene U5. It matches the Rfam family "U5 spliceosomal RNA". Rfam says of the family: U5 RNA is a component of both types of known spliceosome. The precise function of this molecule is unknown, though it is known that the 5' loop is required for splice site selection and p220 binding, and that both the 3' stem-loop and the Sm site are important for Sm protein binding and cap methylation. Lineage: Eukaryota; Metazoa; Chordata; Mammalia; Artiodactyla; Camelidae. The record is from Ensembl.